RNAcentral lists this ribosomal RNA (2929 nucleotides) under Salmonella enterica subsp. enterica serovar Enteritidis str. EC20120008. Its description in RNAcentral is "bacterial LSU rRNA". It matches the Rfam family "Bacterial large subunit ribosomal RNA". The record is from RNAcentral. Lineage: Bacteria; Pseudomonadati; Pseudomonadota; Gammaproteobacteria; Enterobacterales; Enterobacteriaceae.
GGGUUGUGAGGUUAAGCGACUAAGCGUACACGGUGGAUGCCCUGGCAGUCAGAGGCGAUGAAGGGCGUACUAAUCUGCGAUAAGCGCCGGUAAGGUGAUAUGAACCGUUAUAACCGGCGAUACCCGAAUGGGGAAACCCAGUGUGAUUCGUCACACUAUCAUUAACUGAAUCCAUAGGUUAAUGAGGCGAACCGGGGGAACUGAAACAUCUAAGUACCCCGAGGAAAAGAAAUCAACCGAGAUUCCCCCAGUAGCGGCGAGCGAACGGGGAGGAGCCCAGAGCCUGAAUCAGCAUGUGUGUUAGUGGAAGCGUCUGGAAAGGCGCGCGAUACAGGGUGACAGCCCCGUACACAAAAGCGCAUGUGCUGUGAGCUCGAUGAGUAGGGCGGGACACGUGGUAUCCUGUCUGAAUAUGGGGGGACCAUCCUCCAAGGCUAAAUACUCCUGACUGACCGAUAGUGAACCAGUACCGUGAGGGAAAGGCGAAAAGAACCCCGGCGAGGGGAGUGAAAAAGAACCUGAAACCGUGUACGUACAAGCAGUGGGAGCACAGGUUUACCUGUGUGACUGCGUACCUUUUGUAUAAUGGGUCAGCGACUUAUAUUCUGUAGCAAGGUUAACCGAAUAGGGGAGCCGGAGGGAAACCGAGUCUUAAUUGGGCGUUAAGUUGCAGGGUAUAGACCCGAAACCCGGUGAUCUAGCCAUGGGCAGGUUGAAGGUUGGGUAACACUAACUGGAGGACCGAACCGACUAAUGUUGAAAAAUUAGCGGAUGACCUGUGGCUGGGGGUGAAAGGCCAAUCAAACCGGGAGAUAGCUGGUUCUCCCCGAAAGCUAUUUAGGUAGCGCCUCGUGAAUUCAUCUCCGGGGGUAGAGCACUGUUUCGGCUAGGGGGCCAUCCCGGCUUACCAACCCGAUGCAAACUGCGAAUACCGGAGAAUGUUAUCACGGGAGACACACGGCGGGUGCUAACGUCCGUCGUGAAGAGGGAAACAACCCAGACCGCCAGCUAAGGUCCCAAAGUCAUGGUUAAGUGGGAAACGAUGUGGGAAGGCCCAGACAGCCAGGAUGUUGGCUUAGAAGCAGCCAUCAUUUAAAGAAAGCGUAAUAGCUCACUGGUCGAGUCGGCCUGCGCGGAAGAUGUAACGGGGCUAAACCAUGCACCGAAGCUGCGGCAGCGACACUGUGUGUUGUUGGGUAGGGGAGCGUUCUGUAAGCCUGCGAAGGUGGCCUGUGAGGGUUGCUGGAGGUAUCAGAAGUGCGAAUGCUGACAUAAGUAACGAUAAAGCGGGUGAAAAGCCCGCUCGCCGGAAGACCAAGGGUUCCUGUCCAACGUUAAUCGGGGCAGGGUGAGUCGACCCCUAAGGCGAGGCCGAAAGGCGUAGUCGAUGGGAAACGGGUUAAUAUUCCCGUACUUGGUGUUACUGCGAAGGGGGGACGGAGAAGGCUAUGUUGGCCGGGCGACGGUUGUCCCGGUUUAAGCGUGUAGGUGUGUGUUCCAGGUAAAUCCGGUUCACUUUAACACUGAGGCGUGACGACGAGGCACUACGGUGCUGAAGCAACAAAUGCCCUGCUUCCAGGAAAAGCCUCUAAGCAUCAGGUAACAUCAAAUCGUACCCCAAACCGACACAGGUGGUCAGGUAGAGAAUACCAAGGCGCUUGAGAGAACUCGGGUGAAGGAACUAGGCAAAAUGGUGCCGUAACUUCGGGAGAAGGCACGCUGACACGUAGGUGAAGUGAUUUACUCAUGGAGCUGAAGUCAGUCGAAGAUACCAGCUGGCUGCAACUGUUUAUUAAAAACACAGCACUGUGCAAACACGAAAGUGGACGUAUACGGUGUGACGCCUGCCCGGUGCCGGAAGGUUAAUUGAUGGGGUCAGCGCAAGCGAAGCUCCUGAUCGAAGCCCCGGUAAACGGCGGCCGUAACUAUAACGGUCCUAAGGUAGCGAAAUUCCUUGUCGGGUAAGUUCCGACCUGCACGAAUGGCGUAAUGAUGGCCAGGCUGUCUCCACCCGAGACUCAGUGAAAUUGAACUCGCUGUGAAGAUGCAGUGUACCCGCGGCAAGACGGAAAGACCCCGUGAACCUUUACUAUAGCUUGACACUGAACAUUGAGCCUUGAUGUGUAGGAUAGGUGGGAGGCUUUGAAGUGUGGACGCCAGUCUGCAUGGAGCCGACCUUGAAAUACCACCCUUUAAUGUUUGAUGUUCUAACGUGGACCCGUUACCCGGGUUGCGGACAGUGUCUGGUGGGUAGUUUGACUGGGGCGGUCUCCUCCUAAAGAGUAACGGAGGAGCACGAAGGUUGGCUAAUCCUGGUCGGACAUCAGGAGGUUAGUGCAAUGGCAUAAGCCAGCUUGACUGCGAGCGUGACGGCGCGAGCAGGUGCGAAAGCAGGUCAUAGUGAUCCGGUGGUUCUGAAUGGAAGGGCCAUCGCUCAACGGAUAAAAGGUACUCCGGGGAUAACAGGCUGAUACCGCCCAAGAGUUCAUAUCGACGGCGGUGUUUGGCACCUCGAUGUCGGCUCAUCACAUCCUGGGGCUGAAGUAGGUCCCAAGGGUAUGGCUGUUCGCCAUUUAAAGUGGUACGCGAGCUGGGUUUAGAACGUCGUGAGACAGUUCGGUCCCUAUCUGCCGUGGGCGCUGGAGAACUGAGGGGGGCUGCUCCUAGUACGAGAGGACCGGAGUGGACGCAUCACUGGUGUUCGGGUUGUCAUGCCAAUGGCACUGCCCGGUAGCUAAAUGCGGAAGAGAUAAGUGCUGAAAGCAUCUAAGCACGAAACUUGCCCCGAGAUGAGUUCUCCCUGAGACUUUAGAGUCUCCUGAAGGAACGUUGAAGACGACGACGUUGAUAGGCCGGGUGUGUAAGCGCAGCGAUGCGUUGAGCUAACCGGUACUAAUGAACCGUGAGGCUUAACCUUACAACGCCGAAG